CAAGAGGGAAACAACCCAGACCGCCAGCUAAGGUCCCCAAAAUUGGCUAAGUGGGAAACGAAGUGGGAAGGCUAAAACAGUCAGGAUGUUGGCUUAGAAGCAGCCAUCAUUUAAAGAAAGCGUAAUAGCUCACUGAUCGAGUCGUCCUGCGCGGAAGAUGUAACGGGGCUAAGCCAGUUACCGAAGCUGCGGAUUUGCAAUUUAUUGCAAGUGGUAGGAGAGCGUUCUGUACGCCUGUGAAGGUGGAUCGUGAGGUCUGCUGGAGGUAUCAGAAGUGCGAAUGCUGACAUGAGUAGCGUUAAAGAGGGUGAAAAGCCCUCUCGCCGAAAGCGCAAGGUUUCCUACGCAACGUUCAUCGGCGUAGGGUGAGUCGGCCCCUAAGGCGAGGCAGAGAUGCGUAGCUGAUGGGAAACAGGUCAAUAUUCCUGUACCGAUCUAUAGUGCGAUGUGGGGACGGAGAAGGUUAACUCAGCCGGGUGUUGGAUGUCCCGGUUCAAGCCUGUAGUCAUGCCUGGUAGGCAAAUCCGCCGGGCUUAGAUGAGGGGUGAUAACGAGUCUGCUUGCAGACGAAGUGAGUGAUACCCUGCUUCCAGGAAAAGCCACUAAGCUUCAGCUAUAGACGACCGUACCGCAAACCGACACUGGUGCGCGAGAUGAGUAUUCUAAGGCGCUUGAGAGAACUCUGGAGAAGGAACUCGGCAAAUUGACACCGUAACUUCGGAAGAAGGUGUGCCUUUAGUAGGUGAAGUCCCUCGCGGAUGGAGCCCAAUGAGGUUGCAAAGAAUCGGUGGCUGCGACUGUUUAAUAAAAACACAGCACUCUGCAAAGACGAAAGUCGACGUAUAGGGUGUGACGCCUGCCCGGUGCUGGAAGAUUAAAUGAUGGGGUGCAAGCUCUUGAUUGAAGUCCCAGUAAACGGCGGCCGUAACUAUAACGGUCCUAAGGUAGCGAAAUUCCUUGUCGGGUAAGUUCCGACCUGCACGAAUGGCGUAACGAUGGCCACACUGUCUCCUCC
This 1015-nucleotide ribosomal RNA is filed under the name metagenome. RNAcentral's name for it is "bacterial LSU rRNA". It matches the Rfam family "Bacterial large subunit ribosomal RNA", at positions 1012 to 2026 of the family's 2925-position model. The record is from RNAcentral.